Long non-coding RNA from Dicentrarchus labrax (European seabass), 664 nucleotides. RefSeq lists it as uncharacterized. The transcript is spliced from 2 exons. The record is from RefSeq and is a predicted model, not a curated record. NCBI's taxonomy places the organism in Eukaryota, Metazoa, Chordata, Actinopteri, Moronidae.
ACCUAGCCCUCAACAGCCAAUCAGGGGCUACGCAGGCCACGUUCAGCCUGUUAGUUCAGAGGUGAAGUGCAGGCGCGUUGUUUUCCGGGUCUCUUGGAUCUCAGCCGCAAGGGAGGAGGGCAGCUACCUGCUAAAAGGACGGAAUAAAAGGAGAAAAACUCGGAGUUAAACUGUGAUAGGAGAAAGAUAGGACCAGUGCACUUAUCUACUGGGAGUCCGGAGCCAAGUGACUGAACGAAGGAGACGAGUUACGUCGGCUAACCAGUUAGCUUUCAUCUUGUGAGCCACUGCAAGCGCCCCGACAUCGACGUGCUCCGCUUUGAAACAGAGAGCAACGGUCAGGUUUUUUGAGAGGACGGGAAGAUUCGAGGACCAGGACGUUAUCCUGAUUGUGUCAGAUGGCGAGCCAAAACCUUUGAAGAAAAGACACCGACAAGGAGAUACACACGUACACACUCACACGCAUUCACACUACAUUCCCAUAAACAUUUAAUAUCAGGUGCACCUGCCACAAUUUUCAGUUUGAAGGGCCCCAACGGACAUUCUUCUUAUUUUUAGUGUGCACACGUUUUGUUUUCUGGUCAUUUGGGUCAUUGUUUAUAAUUUUGUAUAAAUUGAACAUUUCUCUUAUUCAAUGUAAAAAUAUAAGAUUGACUACUCAACA